CCUACGGGUGGCAGCAGUGAGGAAUAUUGGUCAAUGGGCGCAACCCUGAACCAGCCAAGUAGCGUGAAGGAUGACUGCCCUACGGGUUGUAAACUUCUUUUAUACGGGAAUAAAGUGAGGCACGUGUGCCUUUUUGUAUGUACUUUAUGAAUAAGGAUCGGCUAACUCCGUGCCAGCAGCCGCGGUAAUACGGAGGAUCCGAGCGUUAUCCGGAUUUAUUGGGUUUAAAGGGAGCGUAGACGGGUUGUUAAGUCAGUUGUGAAAGGUUGCGGCUCAACCGUAAAAGUGCAAUUGAUACUGGCAGUCUUGAGUACAGUUGAGGUAGGCGGAAUUCGUGGUGUAGCGGUGAAAUGCUUAGAUAUCACGAAGAACUCCGAUUGCGAAGGCAGCUUACUAAACUGUUACUGACAUUGAUGCUCGAAAGUGUGGGUAUCAAACAGGAUUAGAUACCCGGGUAGUC
RNAcentral lists this ribosomal RNA (460 nucleotides) under uncultured bacterium. Its description in RNAcentral is "partial 16S ribosomal RNA". It matches the Rfam family "Bacterial small subunit ribosomal RNA", at positions 338 to 795 of the family's 1533-position model. The record is from RNAcentral.